This 455-nucleotide ribosomal RNA is filed under the name bacterium 26BK. Its description in RNAcentral is "bacterial SSU rRNA". It matches the Rfam family "Bacterial small subunit ribosomal RNA", at positions 112 to 578 of the family's 1533-position model. The record is from RNAcentral.
CCGUAAUGGGUAAUCUGCCCUGCACUUCGGGAUAAGCCUGGGAAACUGGGAUCUAAUACCGGAUAUGAGACUUCUGCCGCAUGGNGGGNUUUGGAAAGUUUUUCGGUGCAGGAUGAGCCCGCGGCCUAUCAGCUUGUUGGUGGGGUAAUGGCCUACCAAGGCGACGACGUUUAGCCGGCCUGAGAGGGUGAUCGGCCACACUGGGACUGAGACACGGCCCAGACUCCUACGGCCAGGCAGCAGUGGGGAAUAUUGCACAAUGGGCGGAAGCCUGAUGCAGCGACGCCGCGUGGGGGAUGACGGUCUUCGGAUUGUAAACCCCUUUCAGUAGGGUACGAAGCGCAAGUGACGGUACCUGCAGGAAGAAGCAGCGGGCAACUACGUGCCAGCAGCCGCGGUAAUACGUAGGUGCGAGCGUUGUCCGGAAUUACUGGGCGUAAAGAGCUCGUAGGCGG